GAGGCUUGUUGUCAGGAGAGAUGUGGGUGUGAGGCUGGUUGUCAGGGGAGGUGCGGUGUGAGGCUGGUUAUCAGGAGAGGUGCGGUGUGAGGCUAGUUAUCAGGAGAGGUGUGGGUGUGAGGCUGGUUGUCAGGAGAGGUGCAGUGUGAGGCUAGUUGUCAGGAGAGGUGCGGUGUGAGACUAGUUGUCAGGAGAAGUGUAGAUGUGAGGCUGGUUGUCAGGAGAGGUGUGGUGUGAGGCUAGUUGUCAGGAGACGUGCGGUGUGAGGCUGGUUAUCAGGAGAGGUGUGGGUGUGAGGCUGGUUUUCA
Oncorhynchus tshawytscha (Chinook salmon) is the source of this 308-nucleotide long non-coding RNA. Lineage: Eukaryota; Metazoa; Chordata; Actinopteri; Salmoniformes; Salmonidae. The record is from Ensembl.